GUAGGGGGGGCGAGCGUUGUCCGGAUUUAUUGGGGCGUAAAGAGCUCGUAGGGCGGCUUGGCAAGUCGGGUCGUGAAAUCCCGAGGCUCAACCUCGGAUCGUCGGUCGAAACUGCCAUGGCUAGGGUCCGGUAGAGGAGAGUGGAAUUCCCGGUGUAGCGGUGAAAUGCGCAGAUAUCGGGAGGAACACCAGUAGCGAAGGCGGCUCUCUGGGCCGGUACCGACGCUGAGGAGCGAAAGCGUGGGGAGCAAACAGGAUUAGAUACCCUGGUAGUCCACGCCGUAAACGUUGGGUACUAGGUGUGGCGAGUUGUACCAACACUUGCCGUGCCGCAGCUAACGCAUUAAGUACCCCGCCUGGGGAGUACGGUCGCAAGGCUA
Molecule: ribosomal RNA, 380 nt
Filed under: uncultured organism
Description: partial 16S ribosomal RNA
Rfam family: Bacterial small subunit ribosomal RNA
Source: RNAcentral